Amphimedon queenslandica is the source of this 436-nucleotide long non-coding RNA. RefSeq lists it as uncharacterized. The record is from RefSeq and is a predicted model, not a curated record. Lineage: Eukaryota; Metazoa; Porifera; Demospongiae; Haplosclerida; Niphatidae. The transcript has 3 exons.
UUUUGAAAUUAUUGUAACCUGACAAAUUGACAAUAGAAGAAAUAUGCUUGAUUCAUAACAAGUAUCCUUUAUAUCACAUUUGGAAUUCUUUGUCACAAAUGAAUCUUAUCAGUUCUUAUGUAAUUAUCUACUAUAUAAGUCUUGAGAUAUCUGUUCCUGAUAAUUUGGGUCGUGUCAUAUCCCUUAGACUUCAUUACACUGGUAUGUGGAUGGGAUGCUCUUGUUUGCACACUCCUGAUAUUAGAUGUAGCAUCUUUAUAAUUUCGUUUAUGUUGUUUUUGUUUAACGUUUGUUCUCGGUAUAUUUGGAUGGAAGCCUCCAAAGCUGACUCUGUUAUUGUAUAAUUUAGUCUGAGAGUUGUGAAGUAUUUAUUUGUGCAUAAGGUAUGGCAGACGAAUUCAACAUUAUCAGUGUGUAAUAGAUAGCACACUGAUAA